Molecule: long non-coding RNA, 12401 nt
Filed under: Heterocephalus glaber (naked mole-rat)
Lineage: Eukaryota; Metazoa; Chordata; Mammalia; Rodentia; Bathyergidae
Description: lncRNA (ENSHGLG00000050533.1)
Source: RNAcentral
UUUCCAAUCACAGAAAGUUGUUUGACAUAAAUUCACAUAAUAGUUUACUAUUAAAUAAGCAAGCAAAUAGCUGUAUAGCUGAGUGCAGUCUUAUAACUAUAACAAAAUAUAACGUGAUACAGUGAAAAUAACUUUCAACAGAUCAAAUUCAAAAUUUAAUUGUACUUAAUACUAUAUAUGUUUUGUUUAAAAAGUUUUUGGAAGCCUCUAAAUUUCACGUGUAUCUAUGAAGUAGAGAAGGCUGUAUCUAAUGGGGUUCCCAUGAGAACUAAAGAUGCUGUGGAUAAAUAACAUGACAUCAGUAAGGCCACAAGUGGGACUGUGGUAUUUACCUUUGUGUUUUACCAGUUUGUAUUCCAUAGUGGGAAGAUUUUCUCUGAUCUGUGCUACUUUUAUAUAUCUGUGAACCAGGCAUUCUUGACAACAACAUGCCCUGCCUCUCUGAUCCUAAUGGUUUUAGACAAUUUAGAGAAAAACCUCAUGUUUCAAAGACAUUAAGUGCCUGACAGCAGUUUCUGGGGAGAUGAUUAAGAUAGGGUCAAAUGGGAAAGAGGUAAUGGUUAUUUAGGUGGCAUGAAGCGAGAGUCAGACAUUGCCUAUUAGUUUUUAAUGUGCCAUGAUACAGAAUGAAUGAAGAAAUGAUGCUGGCCAAUACACUAACACUGAUACGCUAUUAAUGUGUAAUUUAGAAUUGCCGAUUCCUGGAAUUUAAGUGUUUGAAGAUAGGCAUUGGGACUGAACAAUCUAAGUAUCCUGCAAAACGACUGUGCUGUACAUAAUUGGCUGUCCAUAUGUGUCUGUUAAAUGAGCGAAUGAGUGGAAAAUUAUACUUAACGUCCCUUUGCCAUAGAAGCCCUGCCCUGACACAUGGCUUAUAUUUAUUAUUGGACUACUUUAUAUACAUUUAUAUUUUAAUCUAAAGAUUUAUUUUUCUAUUUACAGCCAUCACAUUAGUUGUACCUACAUUUAUAAUUUUAUUGGAUGAAAGAGAAUGCAUGAUAAAGAUGAAAUUGGAAUAAUUUUACUACUCUAAAUUUAGUUCAAAGCCUCCAAAGAUUAAAGUAAUGACAAGGAAAUGGAAACAUUCACUACCCUAAUUUGAUCGGUUCAUAUGGUAUACAUGUAUUGAAAGAUCAUAUUGUGUACCAUAAAUAUAUAAUAAUUACAUUUUAAUCAAAAUUUUUUUUAAAUUUAAGGAGAUGUAAAUGCUAAGUACUCUGAUUCGAUUAUUAAUACUGUACAUGUCUUGAAUUAUCACACUGCACCCCAUUGACAUGUAUAAUUAAAUUAACAUUUUUUAAUUUUAAAAUUCAAUUAGUAGGUUGGGCAUUCUAAACAAAAUCAUACCCAUAAUACAAUUGAUCAUUCGUAAACCACAAUUUAGAAUAAAUUACUUAUUAAAUAACAAUUCAAUAUAUUUAGAAUCCAUGGGGCAUUCUAGAUUUUUAUAUUUUAUAUGCUAGUUGUAUUUAAAAGGCAGUCUAAGUAUAUCAGUUUUGCUAGUGUGUACCCUAUGAGAACAUUUUUACAUAGUGUAUUUGUCCAUUUUUCUGAAAGUAUAAUUUUUAUGUUUUCAAUUUAUUAACACUUGCUGGUGAUAUUAAAAUGAAUAAAAAGUUAAUUACUUAGAAAAUGCUUUCUCUUUUUACUCCUUUCCUAUAACCAAACAUUGUCUCCCACUUCUGUUUGUACAAAAUGUGAAGAUAUUUUCUAUAAAAGAAAGCAGGUGUUUAUAUGAACAUAAUUUUUUUUAAGCACUGCUACAGCUGCUAUGAUAUGAAGUCACUCCUUUAAAAUCCACUGGGCUUUGAAUGAGUAAGGCUGGGACUCUGCAAAUUAAUUUCCUUUGCCUGUUAGGAUCAGCUGAUUUUUGCAAAGAUCCUUCAGGAUCUUCUGUUAGAGGGUAGGAGAGGGAGAUUGAAGGGCCAGUACAAAGAUGAGGACUUGUUAUUUUUGUUUGUUUCCUAUUGACUUUGACUCAAUAGUUCCCUCCUCCGUCUUUGGAGACCACAUCCCCAGGGGCUCCACAGCAUCAGCACCAGAGUGGGUGCCCUCCUCUGAGCUUCCCCAGACAUUUCUUCCAUCCCUAUUGAUAUUUACAUUCUUUUCUUCAGCCUAAGGGAAGGAGAUGAUUUUUAGUUUAUUAUCUCUCUGUUAACUCCAUAUUCUGUUUUUCUUUUUUUAGCCCUCUAACCUGUGUAAUGGGUUCCAUUUCUCAAUAUCUAGUAAGUUUUUCUGUUUUACAAACCAAAGGGCUAUAAUGGAUUUUAAUUGGAUUUUUUCUUAGUAAUGGCAUUUACAUUUUUUCCCUGAGAUAUUUAUGUUUAAUUUAUGACAACUUUGCCUAAUUAGAACUUAACCACUAGAAAUACGUUUUGUUACUAGAAUAUUUCUGGAAUUUUAGUUCUAUACAUGAGAUAUGAAAUUUUAGAUUGCUAUAAUGAUUUUUAUAAUCAGCAGACAUUCUCUUUCCAUAGGCAGGUAGUCAAUUUUCAUGGGGACUUUUUUUCAGGUGCAUGUUAUUUAUGCCGAAAUGAAAUUGACAUGAAAGAAAAUCACCUUUCCAAGUGAUAUUCCUUUCCUAGUCAGCUCUAGAGAACAUCUUAAUUCACUUAUGAGGACCACAAUGACUUCCUGUGUGUCUUUAAAUUUUACUUUAUUCUUUCCAAAUAAAGUACUUUUCAAAAUGAUUGCUCAAUAGAGGCCUACUUCAAAAAGAGCCCCAGAGAUUUUGUCCUGGUCUAUAAGAAGUUUCAAACCAUUGCCUAGGGGAAUCAAAAAUUUAAAUUCUAACUAAUCAGCUGCAGAGCUCAGAAAGUUAAAAAUACAUAACCUCAAUUUUUUCCAGGGAAUGACUUUAAAUCUAAUCCCCUGGUGAUAAGAAUUUUAAUCUAUUUAAAGUCAACCACCAUCAAACUAUCAAACUUUUAUCUUAAGCAAACAGAGGGAUGGCCAGAUGUAGUUGAUAGAAUUGAAUGAUGCUAACUCAGUCAGUGGUCUGUUUAAAUUGUGAUUCCCUGCAAUCUAUGACUAUAUAGGGGUAAAGAUUCAUUUUUAUAGCAUAAUCAGAUGAAAUCAUAGCUUCUUAUGAUUAAACUCAUUUUAUAUAAAAGCAUUCUGGACAUUUCUAAAAUUUGAACUCUUACAAAACACUACAUAAUUCUAUUUUCUUAGCAAACCUCGGAAAAUUACCUAAUUCUGAAGGUAUAAAAAGAAAAACAAUCUUGAUAUCAAAAUGUAGACAACCAGCAAACAACCUUGCACUGAAGUCAUAAAUGUGUAUCUACUAUUGACUGUUCAGUUUCUAUUAAGCACACUUCUAAGCACUUUACAUGUAUUUAUCUAAUUAAGUCUCAGGACAACACCAUAUUUUCCCUGAAAAUAAGACCUAGGUGGAAAAUAAUCAACCUUGAAAACUAGAGAUCAAAAAUGCCAGCCCUAAUCAGCCUGUCCUUACCUUACUUUAGCCUUGCCUUAUCUUCCUUACAAAGUAACCACCAAACAAGAGAAUUGUGAUGGCAGGUAAGAAAAGGACAGGCUAGGUCUUGUUUUCAAGGAAAGAAGUUAUCAUCUAUAUUUUACCAGUGAGAAGGUGAAGUUCCAAGAAUUUUAACCUUCCUUUCCUGAGAUCUCUAACCAGUUAAUUUCUAAAGUGUUAUUCAUUCUUGAAAAUAUGGACACAGGAAAUAUAUUGCUUCUUAUGGGUUGCCCACUCAUCAGUUUAAAUGUGUAGGAAGCUAACUGUAAGCCUCUGAACUGACCCCUAUACUUCCUAUCCAAGCAAGCCCAGAGAAAGAGGAGAAACUAGUAGGAACAAAAGAAAGGCCAUAGUCAUUUCUCUUUGAAUAUGUUCUGAUAAGAAUUUCUAGUAGAAUCUUUCACUUAUAGGAUAAUUUUAGCAUGAUGCUCCUGGUCAUUCUAGAAAACUUAUGGUAAAUACAUUUAUACUUCGUAGAUCUGUGAUUCAAGAACUACUAAAAAGGAAUGUCAGAGUCUGUAUGUGACUGAGUAGAAAUAACAAUAUUUUCUCAUUGAAAUAUCUCCUAUUGUGCAAAUGACACCCUCCCUGAGUCCUUUAGAGAAUUCUUAUGCUAAAUAAAUGUCAGAGUGGCACAGGCAGCAAUAAAAAAACCAGGGGGUAAGGUUUGUAAUGCCAUACUUCCACAUGAUUCACCUACACUUCAUAAUUGCCUGUAUCUCUCAAAUUAUUGAUAAUUUUGCCUUGCAUAAAAUACGUGAUUUUUAUAAGCCUAACAAAUAUCUGAGACCUUUCUUGUUAUAUUAAGGAGUUUUCUGCAGUUAAGCUACUUUGGAAUUCUGAGAAGUUACAUGGAAUUCCAAGAAGUUUUAUGGUUUCUUUUGGUGGCUUUUUUGGAUCUUGUUAAUUUAUCCAACAAACAUCUCACAAAAAGUAGAAACUCAUGCAAUAAACAGUUAUUGCAUUCAUACUAUCUCAAUGGAGCUGAUUUAGUCACAGAAUUAUGCAAUCUAAGAGUUUAAUAAAGAACAAACAACAAAACUAAUAAAAAAUAUGUCAUGUUGUUCUUUGAAAAAAAUUACACAUGUCAUAUUAGAAGGACAGUUGGUAUUGAGGUAUGAGAUUGGAGAGACAAAAACAUCUCUGAUGCUAUGUAAAUAAAGAGCAAAUAAAAGAUAGUAGGAAGCAGGGAGAUGGAUCUUUCUCAAAUAGGAAAGGGAUUAAGAGGUUGAGGGGGAGGGAGGGAAGGGAAAAGGGAAGAAAAAAAGGAAUUAAGAUGUGCUAUGUACACGUACCAACUCUAUAAAAGGAAUACAAACAUUAUGUACUGCAAACAUGCACUAAUAAAAAUAAAUAAAUAAAACACAAAAAAAUUGUAAAAGAUAUUACUGAAGUACAAUAGUGAGACAUGUCAGUAUCUGAGAGAACAGAUUUUCUGGCAAAGGGGGUAUGCUUUACAUGUGUGAGGAGAAAAUAGUCUGAGAGGUAUGGAAUGAUAGAAUCCCUGUGGUAGGAGAAAAAAGAAGAUGUAGAUGGGGAUGAGAUCAAACACAGAUGAUUAGAUAUUGCUUUAAAAAUAGUCUUUCUUCUGACUCCAAUGGGAAGCCAUUGGAAGGCAAGCAGAGUAGUAACAUGAUAUGGCUACACAUUACCUGGCAUUCUCUUCUGCCUUGUUGAGAAUAGUCUACCAAGGAGUAGAGCCCGGUCAAUGGGAAAUAUUAAGAAGCCUAUGAAGAAGCCAAGUGAGCAGUGAUGGGGUGUGGUGUGUCUGUCACUAUGCAACUAAGAAAAUCAAAGUCCCUGUAAACAGUUGCGGCAUUAUUGCCAUGUUCAGGAAUUAUGGAUAUAAAAAAGCUUUGGAAAAACAAAAGGGCCACAGGCAGAGAGGCUUUGCCACAGGUCUCAAUUUCAUGUGCCAAAGGAAUUUUGAUGCUGAAAAAAUUCUCAAACUUCAAGAUUUUCUAGAAAAUUUCACACAACUACUUAAGACUGUGUAAGUAGAGCAGGGGAGGGUGGUUCUGAAGAACAUUCCUACACAGGUGAGAAUGCCAGAAUUCCAAGCUCAUGGGUCCAUGUGUGCUUUGGAAAAUUGUACCCUGUCCAUCUCUUCCACCUAUCACAUCUUGCAUGAUGCUUAUUACCAGCAAAUGCUGCCAUUAAUGUAUACCAUAGGAAUUAUUAUCUGUGUUCCAGCACUGCUUUUAAUGCAAUGUUUUCUUAUAUGUCAUAUAUUGUUUAAUGGCUUGGUAAGGUUGGAAGAUAAAAAUAAUGUUAGAUAAUUUCUCACUAUUAUUCACACUAUAACAGGUAGCAUCUUAUUCUGUCUUCCUGAAGGCAACUAUAAGGUAAUUCAAUUAAUUGAUUAUUAAUUUUUGUGUCUACCUAUCUUAUGAGAUUACCAGCUCCCUGACAGAAAGCAGAAAUCCUUUGUCUUACUGUGUCCUCAGAAAAUAGGACUAUUUUUGGAAUAUAAUGGAUGCACAGUAAACACUUUUUGAUUGAGUGAAAAGCUUUUCCAUAAUAUGAGGAAUCAUGAUGGGCCAAAUCAAAUGCUAAAGUGCUAAGAGAAUCAAGCUAACAAGCAGAAAGGGGUAUAUAAAAAUUAUCUACACUGAAAACAAACACCCACAUUAAAUGAUAAUUAGAAUUUGAAAAAGUAUUGAACAGAGCAAGCAGGAUACAAAAAAUAAAUAAGCAGGAAUUAAAAACAACUGUGUAUAUGGCACAGCCAGGCAUAAAACAGCUGUAAAACAUUUUUAUUAUAUAAUUUAAUUAUUUCUAUUAGUUUUUUUAAUCAAAAGAAUCUUUCAUCUAUUCAUGAUGGACUUCAGGGGAAAAAAGCUUAGAGAUUUAUAUUCUCCUCGAGGUUUACAAGCAUAAUUGAAUCGAUACACUUGUAAUUUUUUCAGAUGCCAUUACAUUUUCUUGAUGCAGUUCUUUGUAAUUGUAAAUUGACAGCUCAAUCUUCUUGUCAGUUUCUGAAAAGACGUAUCUAAGGACUAUUCAAGAAAAUAUUUGGGGAGCUUAAUAAAAAGCAGCAAUGCAAUCAUGACCAAGCCCUUUUAGAACAAGACCUGAAUGCCAUUUCUCUCCUUGGAGCACUCUCAAUAUACCUGACAAUUCCAAGUAGGUUGGAGCUGCUACACAGGCAAACAACACAGGCAUCUGUUAGCAUAGGCUGGCUCUUCAAUAAUAGACCCUUCAGUUUUCUAAGGUCUUAGAGUAGACAUUCAUGGUGAAAAUGACAAUUUAAUGUACAAUAAGAUAACUAUAAAGAAGAGUCUUGGACACAUUAUUUAAUCAUAUUCUUCUGUAGUUCUGAGGGAAGAUGCUACUGCAAUCUUGAUAUUACAGGUAAGGCAACUGAGUUAAAGAAGUCAACUAAUCUCAUUCACAGAGCUGAUAAACUGGAGAUACAGAUUCUAAUCCAGGCUUCCUAAAGAAUUAGCCUACUUCAGUACAAUGUCUCAUGAAAAUCUGCUUUUACAACUUUGGGAGGAGGUAGAAAGUGAGUCAUCAGGUGAUUCAGCUAUUGAUGAUGACUUGGAUCAUGUAAACCAAAGAAGUUGAGACACUGAGAUGGAGCAAGAUAUGACAAAUAGAUAGAGAAAUACAGAAUGAAGACCUCUGAUGCAGAUGAGGAAGAAAGCAGUAAUGUAAAUAAAUAUUUGACAAGUCAAAAUACUACAAAAUGGUUAUACAUACCUGAAUUAUCCAACAUUAGUACUAGGUCAGAAAAUGUUAUUACAUUCUUGCCAGGGGUGAAACCUGUUGAAAUGCCAACAUUGCAAUUCAGUGUUGGAAAUUGUAACAGAAAAUACAUUAAAAGAUAUUUUUAAAUACAAUAAUAAUGAAAUACAAGAAAACAUUCUAUAUGUAUCAAUAGUAAUACUCAAAAAUAUAACUAUCAUAACACCUCACUAUCUGAACUAAAAGCCUUCAUAGCAGGACUUCCUAAUUCGAAUCAUCAGAAUCUAAAGGAUUUAUGGAGAAGUGACAGAUGUGACAUUGUAAUUUUUAGAACAAUUAUGACACUGGAGAUUUGGUUUCCUUCCAAAUUGCCUAGGUUUUGAAGACAAAAAGACCCACCAAGAAAGAAAAAAAAAAUUAACAAUUUGGCAUCUAUUUGCUCAUGUUUUGAAAGCUUUGUUUUAAACUGUCAAGUAAUUUAUACAGCAUCUGAAUACAUGACAACUGACAAACAACUUGCAUCAUUUUGUGGUUGUUGAAGUAUUUGGUGAUAUAUGGCAAAUAAUCCUCCCAAAUAUGGUAGAAAAAUACAUGUCCUUGUAGAAGCAAAGGCAUUUUACACCUUGAAUUUAGACAUUUACCCUGGAGCUCAGCUACCAGGGCUCUAUUUGUGCAGUAAUAAACCAUAUGAUGUUGUGAAUGGACUUGUUACACCUAUUUCAAGAACUGAUCCAACAUUCAACAACUGGUUCACUAAUCACCUACCCAUUGAUGUUACAUUUGCUAAAAGAACACCAGUUGACCAGCAUAGGAACAAAGAAGAGAUUUCUGAAAAAAAUGCUGCAAGUUCACAAUAGAGAAAUGUAUAUUAUAAUGAAUUUCAGAAAAGACAUAACAUUGGGCUCCUAUAUGGUAAAGAAAAACAAAGUAGUAUUGAUGUGGUCAACAUUACACCAUGAUGGUAAGCUUGGUAGUGAAGCUGGACAUGGUGCACACCUGUAAUCCCAAUACUCAAGAGGCUGAGGCAGGAGGAUCCUGUGAGUUCAAGGUCAGCAGUGCUACAUAGUGAGUUCUAGGCUAGCUUGGACAGCACUAUGGUGAAUAAAAACAAAAUAAUAUUGAUACUGGCAAUGUUACACCAUGAUGAUAAGAUUAAUAGCAAAGCUGGUUGUGGAUGCCUGUAAUCCUAGCACUUGGGAGGCUAAAUCAGAAGGAUCCUGUGUGUCCAAGGUCAGCCUAUGCUAUAUAGUGAGUUCAACGCUAGCCUGGAUUAUAUAGUAAGAUCCUGUUUCAAAAAAAACAAACAAAUAACAAGAUUGAUAAUGAAUCCUCAAUACAAAUGAAGCCAUUAAUGUUGACAUUUUACAACAAAAUGAAAGGUGGAUUAGAUGUUGUUGAUGAGUUAUGCAUAUCGUAUCAUAUCAUAUCGUAUCACUGGAACUAUAAUAUCACUGGAAAGGCAAAGCAUUUGCCAAUAGCUGUGUUUUACUCAAUCCUAAACAUGUUAAGCAUAGUUUCAUAGUUUACAAAGAAAAUAGGCACAAAAUAUCAUGGAAAAUUUUCUUAGAGGAUUGGGACUCGACUUGAUAAAUGGUCAGUUACAAUAAAGAAAGAACAGUAUAUAUCUGCCAAAGAGCUCCCCAACAGAAUUCUGGAGCAAACGGGUGGACAGACAGGAUAAACACCACAAGAAUCUCCAAAAAAAGCAAGAAGAUAAGCAAGAUGUCAAGUAUGUCAUGCCAAAAAAAAAAAAGGAAAACAACACACGAGCUAUAAGUGUAAGCAAUACUUGGGUAUGGAGCAUGCUGUUUUCACGUGUGGAGACUGCUUUAGGUGCUCAGUGAAAUCACAAAUAUCAGAUUGAGCUCCGGCUGUCGGUGACCAUUAAAUAAAGUUGAACAAUCUCUCUGUUGUAGAUGUUACCUAGUUUAUGUCCUUGAUUAAUUUAUGUACCACACUGCUUGGAUUUUAUCACCGAGUAGAAUUACUACUAAUAUACACACAAAUAGAUUAUUUGGCUUGUAAUAAUCUGAUAAAAGUAGUUACAUAUCAUGCUACUAGUCUGUGACUAAAAUAGUUCAUCACCUACUGGGUGGGUAUCUUUCCCAAAGAAUUAAAAGAAUCAUACCACAGCGAUAUAUGUGCACCUAUGUUUAUAGCGGCACAAUUUGUAAUAGCUAAGUAUUGGAAACAGCUCAAUUGCCCAUCAACUGGAGACUGGAUAAAGAAAAUGUGGUUUUUUUUAAUAAAAUGAAUUACUACUCAGCCAUAAAGAUCGAGAAACUAGAGUCAUUUAUAGCUAAAUGGAUGGAUAUUGAUGCCAUUCUCUUAAGUGAAAUAAAUAGGACACACAUGUGUAAAUACUGAAUAGUUUCUCUAGUGUGAGAAACUGAGUGUAAAUAAGGAUGAAAAUGACUAAAACAAAUAAUUGAUAAUUUGAAAUAGGAAAAGGUCCAAAGGUGGAGGGGUGGCGAGAGGGGAAGGGGAAAGGGAAGAAAGGAGAGGAAAAAUUAUGAGAAAGAAAAAAAAAUGGAAACAAAGUCUAUGUAAAUAGGGAAGGGUGGUGGGGGUGAAGGGCACAUAAGUAAUGGGGAAAAAAAUAAGAACUAAGAUACAUCAUGUUCAGGUACAAGCACCCAAUGGUAAAUGUAAAUGUGUUGUAUACCUAAAAUGUACCAAUUAAUAUAUAAAUUAAAAAAAUAGUUCAUAAUUUUUUAUUAGAUGUAAUACAUAUUUGUAAAUUUAAAAUAAAAUUUAUUGAACAUAACAUUUUAAUAGUAGGAUGAAAAAUUGCUAGGUCUAUAAUACGGUAAAUGUUUAGUGAACGUUUCCUGCACAGUGUCAAGUGAGGAACAUAACUGGGUCCAAUUGUUACAAGGUUCGGGGGUGCUGGAGUCUCCUUCUGAAGGUUGUUUGCCUGAGCAAAGAAUUGGUCAAGACAAGUGCAAAUGUCCCAAGAUUUUACAUUUAUUAAGAUAAGAAAAGAAAAGAUAAAAGAAAAGAAAAGAAACAUGCUCUGUAGAGUCACUUUGGUUAAAAAAAGAGUUGCACCCUGGAAAGAAGAAGGUGGGCCACUGAAAGAGCUAACAAUGGCCCCAGCUGGACGGUGGGUGUCUUUUUUAUCUUUCACUUCUCGGGCUGAUGUCAGGUCUAGGCCAUACUAUCAAAAGCCUGUUUGAGUUCUCACAAGAAGAACUGAAGAUAGCUCUCUCUGAUUGGUUCUGUGCAGAGCGUUUGGAACUCUUUUGUGAAGAAAGUUUAAUGGGUCAUGCCCACUUCCCUAGCCAGUUUGCUGUACCCUAAUCUUCUGCCUCACAAUUGUCAAUGAAGAACUCACAGUAAUAACAAAGGCACUCACUUUUUGUCUCUCUAACUAGAAAUCUUAAGUCUGAUGAACUGCACAAAUAUUCAAGAAGAAUCCACCUGAAAGUGUUUGUCCUCACAUAUGUUUACCAUGAUAACACUAAGUUUUAAUGCAUAAAUCUCGAGAGUAAAAUAAGUGCUUCUGAAAAAAAUGUUAAUUCUUUUUUUAGGAGACUUCAAUCUUAAUUUGGUUGCUUAAUUUUAUGGAUUCUAAAAUGUCCACUUUUCUUGAUUAUUGUUAUUGGUUACCUUUCAUUUUGGUUAAAACAUUUAUCUGUUCUUUGGCCACCUCUGAGUCAUCUGAGUCAUUCAGAUUAACAGUACUGGCUUGCUUGGUAUGAUAUAUAUUCAGUUUCCUCUGACAUUAAACAUAAGACAUAUAAACAUCUCAACUAUAAAAGUGAAGUUCAAAUUAAAAUUGAAGUGAAACGUACUGUGGCUAUUGGGUAUAUUUAAAUAUAAGACAGUGAGUCAUAGGAUUAUUCCACAAAGAAUAGUAGUUUAUUAUCGGUUCAUGAGUUAAAAAGAAUAGAUAACCACCUGAUUUAAGAAAAAGAGUUGGAAAUGUUGUUCCCAUGUAAAGUUAGAAGUAUGGAUAGACUGAUGAACACAAUAAUUUGGGUAUUACAAUAUUAGGAUAAUAGGGGACAUAUACUCUAUCUACCAGCCCAAGAAAGUGGUAAGAACUAUCAGGGAGAGAAAAUUCUAAGCCUCAGGCUUAUAAACAGUUAUGUGAUUGAAAUUUAUGGCUAUAUAGUACAAUGUGAAAUCCCAAGAUUAUUAAUAGAAAAAAUCUGUUUCAAAUUAGUGAAACCAACUGUCUACAUGAAAGAAGCAAACUCAGUGCUUCUCAGAGGGACAUUUUCAUAAGGAAAAUUUAUAGUUUAUAUUCAGAUAGCCUUGCUAAAUUGCUAAACUACUCCUCCUUGGCUUGAAAUUUCAAUCCUCCUUCCUCAGCCUCCAAGGAUUAGAGGCCAAUGCCACCAUGCCCUGCCCAAGGUAUCAGAUUUUUAGGCAGGCAGGGCUCAUGUGACUGACUUUAGUUAUUCAGUUCAUUCUUCCCACUCACCGGACAAACUCAUAAAAUGUGGUCAAGAACUCAAGCAAACAAAGACAAUUUGUAAAUUAUUUAGGAAGAAGAUGACAAUGGUGAUAUUCCAAAGGGUAAGAGGUUGUCUCCCAGCAGCCAGUCAUGAACUGGUUUUCUCUCUUGAAUGUGCAGGGUUUGACUGACACAAGUUGCUGAGUCAAUCCUUCACUGUGUUCAUGAAUAAAUCUGAAAAACCAUUAUGGGAAAAGAAACAAGUGAACAAAAUAAUUGAUGCCUCAAAACACAGUGGUAUGAACAUGACAUACAAUUUUUGAGGGAGAUUAGAAUUAGGUGUUUGAUAGUAAAACACUGUUACUCAGUAUUUCAUACUGAUAUUUCUUUGUAUGACUGAAGGAAAUAAAAUUCAAAACACAUGAAAACAAAACAAAAGCUUAUACAGGGUUACACUGAUUACUGAAAGGGCAUGGUCUUUCUACAAGGUGGUAUCUGGUCCAUUUCAGGUCCAGUUUGAUUCUUUAACUGCAACUAUUCCCACCCCAUAUGUGUCAGAGACUCCUGCAGUAAGUUUCUAGUCCCCACCUGCCCAAUGCAUGAUACUAAGUUGAAGAAAACUUAAGACAGAGUUAAAAACAAAGUGUGAACUGGGACAGCCAUUGCUCCUUUGGCAAAGGGCACUGGUCCAUUUCUUCCACUGAAUUUUAUUAUUCAUCAGUCAGGGUAAAGGGGCAUGUAUAGAUGUGCAGUACGUGAAAUUACUAUGGAAACUAAUGUAGGCAAGGCUUUAAAGAGAAGUCAAAGCAUUUUCAAAUUAAAAGCAAG